RNAcentral lists this ribosomal RNA (253 nucleotides) under uncultured bacterium. Its description in RNAcentral is "partial 16S ribosomal RNA". It matches the Rfam family "Bacterial small subunit ribosomal RNA", at positions 524 to 776 of the family's 1533-position model. The record is from RNAcentral.
UACGUAGGGACCAAGCGUUGUCCGGAAUCAUUGGGCGUAAAGAGCGUGUAGGCGGCUUGUUAAGUCUUGCGUGAAAUCUCGGGGCUCAACCCCGAGCGGUCGUGAGAAACUGGCAGGCUAGAGUGCGGGAGAGGAGAAUGGAAUUCCUGGUGUAGCGGUGAAAUGCGCAGAUAUCAGGAAGAACACCCGUGGCUAAGGCGGUUCUCUAGUACGGUACUGACGCUGAGACGCGAAAGCGUGGGGAGCGAACAGG